This 459-nucleotide ribosomal RNA is filed under the name uncultured bacterium. RNAcentral's name for it is "bacterial SSU rRNA". It matches the Rfam family "Bacterial small subunit ribosomal RNA", at positions 339 to 791 of the family's 1533-position model. The record is from RNAcentral.
UUACGGGAGGCAGCAGUGGGGAAUAUUGCGCAAUGGGGGAAACCCUGACGCAGCAACGCCGCGUGAGUGAAGAAGGCUUUCGGGUUGUAAAGCUCUGUCAACGGGGACGAAGUCUGGAGGGAAAAUACACCUUCAGGUGACGGUACCCGAGGAGGAAGCCCCGGCUAACUACGUGCCAGCAGCCGCGGUAAUACGUAGGGGGCGAGCGUUGUCCGGAAUUACUGGGCGUAAAGGGCGUGUAGGCGGUUAUCCAAGUCAGGUGUUUAAGCUGCCGGCUUAACCGGGAGAGUGCACCUGAAACUGGGUGACUUGAGGGCAGGAGAGGGAAGUGGAAUUCCUAGUGUAGCGGUGAAAUGCGUAGAUAUUAGGAGGAACACCAGUGGCGAAGGCGACUUCCUGGCCUGUCCCUGACGCUGAGGCGCGAAAGCGUGGGGAGCAAACAGGAUUAGAUACCCCGGU